AGUGCGGCAGAGGCGGGCGGAAUUCGUGGUGUAGCGGUGAAAUGCUUAGAUAUCACGAAGAACUCCGAUUGCGAAGGCAGCUUGCUGGACCGUAACUGACGUUGAUGCUCGAAAGUGCGGGUAUCAAACAGGAUUAGAUACCCUGGUAGUCCGCACAGUAAACGAUGAAUACUCGCUGUUGGCGAUAUACUGCCAGCGGCCAAGCGAAAGCGUUAAGUAUUCCACCUGGGGAGUACGCCGGCAACGGUGAAACUCAAAGGAAUUGACGGGGGCCCGCACAAGCGGAGGAACAUGUGGUUUAAUUCGAUGAUACGCGAGGAACCUUACCCGGGCUUGAACUGCAGCGGAAUGAUUUGGAAACAGAUCAGCGAGCAAUCGCCGCUGUGGAGGUGCUGCAUGGUUGUCGUCAGCUCGUGCCGUGAGGUGUCGGCUUAAGUGCCAUAACGAGCGCAACCCUUACCGAUAGUUGCCAUCAGGUGACGCUGGGGACUCUAUCGGGACUGCCGUCGUAAGAUGUGAGGAAGGUGGGGAUGACGUCAAAUCAGCACGGCCCUUACGUCCGGGGCUACACACGUGUUACAAUGGGGGGUACAGCAGGCCGCUACCGGGCGACCGGAUGCCAAUCCCUAAAACCCCUCUCAGUUCGGACUGGAGUCUGCAACCCGACUCCACGAAGCUGGAUUCGCUAGUAAUCGCGCAUCAGCCACGGCGCGGUGAAUACGUUCCCGGGCCUUGUACACACCGCCCGUCAAGCCAUG
Molecule: ribosomal RNA, 758 nt
Filed under: uncultured bacterium
Lineage: Bacteria
Description: bacterial SSU rRNA
Rfam family: Bacterial small subunit ribosomal RNA
Source: RNAcentral